UAUCCUCUCAGUUACUGAAUCGAACCUCUCUCUCGGCAAGCCUUCGCAUGUUGCCUGCCCCGUCCCCUGCUUCCCCGCCGUUGCCGCUAUCUCCUCCCGUCGACGGCUCGCCCAUACCCUCCACAGGACCCAUCUCGCCGUUCCUUGCGCAGAAAUAGCGCGCCGCUCCAUGGAUGUCCCGCUCAUCGCCGCAGUCGGUCACGUGGGGGCAUGUACGCUCGCUCCGCCCAGAUCAUCGAUGCCCCCCGACGACUCCAGCUAGCAGGCUGCUCCGAGACCCCUUGUCGACCCCCAUGGAGGUGGCGGGCGUGCCGAAGCCGCGGCUGGAGGAGGCCAUCGACUGCGUCAUGAACCCGCACAUUGGCGCCCCCGUUACCGUGGUGACAAGCACUUCCACUUCCACAACUCCGGCCUCUAGACGCAGAGCGUACUCUACGUGCAGAAUAAGUACAUUACGACGGGAUGUACUUUGCAUUUUGGUGACAAGAAACAUGGACAAUUGGGGACGGGUUCACUAAAGACAUGAAUAACAUAGGUGUUGGUGGAAGGCACUUCAGUUGUACGAGGCGGGGUUGCCACUCUAAGUCGUACAAAAUGGCUAGUAAUAAAGUUAAAAAGGUUGACGCCUCUGCUUAGAUGCUAGAUGGGCCUAUACUGUUGAGUUUCCAUAUUUUAGCUUUAUUUUAAUGUUGCUUGCCUUUCUUCACUGUUGAGCUCCAUGAUGAACAUUGAAUAUUUAAACCUAAUUUGAUAGUUUAGUUUGGCCGUGGGGAUCAAACUGUAUACCUGGAUGUGCGGUACCAUAAUGAACUUUGCUACUGAGAUAUAAGAUGAGAGAUUCAACAUAAACAUGAAAAAUUUCAAGUUAUCUAGAUACAACAACAUUGAUGCAAAUAAAAUGUGAAAUUUUGCACCUGCUUCACCCUUCUAAAACAUCUCGAAAGACAAUGCUUUUGGUGCUUUUCCCGGAUUUAUCAACCUCAUAAAAUACAUUCAGCUCUGAAAUUUUGCAAUUCCAUGAAAGGUAUAUCUACAUUGAUUAGGCUAGAAUAAUCAUGACCGGACACACAAGGCCUCCUAGGGAAUCUGAUAUGAGGUAAGAUUCUCACAUGAUGGGGAAGUUCUUCAAAGAAAGUGCAUCCAGCUGGUGAUCCGCAUCAGAGUAAAAUACAUACAAUUUGAUACCUUUUCUGGUGAUCCACAUGAUGGGGGAAGUUCUUCAAACAAAGUGCACCUCAAGUUUCCCUGAUGAUUCUCAUGAUAAUAAAAUACAUACAAAUCAGGAAAGGAGUUCUCUGCCAUAACAAUGGUUAAAGGUACCCUUUAUAUGCACGCACCAGAAAGCAUGGUUGGGCGAUUAGGAUUCUACCGAUAUUGUUGGUCCGCAAUGAUGGAGUUUCCUUUAAAAUGUGAGAGAUCCCUGAAAUGCUGCAGUUUCCUUUAAAAUGCUGCAGAUUCCUUUGAUUUGGCUGGGUGGUUUCCUUUCCUGUAACCCUGACAUAAUGGCGUGUCGAUAAAUCUGUGUGUACUUUCCUUUCCUGUAGCCAUGAAUAAUUUCGUUGCUGUAGAGAUGUUGUGGCGCGGUGAUUAUGUGCUGGACUUUCCUGGAAUGGUUAUGUGGUUUCC
Molecule: RNA transcript, 1626 nt
Organism: Lolium rigidum
Lineage: Eukaryota; Viridiplantae; Streptophyta; Magnoliopsida; Poales; Poaceae
Exons: 5
Source: RefSeq, a predicted model, not a curated record